This 420-nucleotide ribosomal RNA is filed under the name uncultured bacterium. RNAcentral describes it as "bacterial SSU rRNA". It matches the Rfam family "Bacterial small subunit ribosomal RNA", at positions 402 to 836 of the family's 1533-position model. The record is from RNAcentral.
UGCGGGAUGAAGCCUUUCGGGCUGUAAACCGCUUUCAGCAGGAACGAAAAUGACGGUACCUGCAGAAGAAGGAGCGGCCAACUACGUGCCAGCAGCCGCGGUGACACGUAGGCUCCAAGCGUUGUCCGGAUUUAUUGGGCGUAAAGAGCUCGUAGGCGGUUUAGUAAGUCGGGUGUUAAAACUUUGGGCUCAACCCGGAGAGGCCAUCCGAUACUGCUGUGACUUGAGUUCAGGAGGGGAGCGGGGAAUUCCUAGUGUAGCGGUGAAAUGCGCAGAUAUUAGGAGGAACACCGGUGGCGAAGGCGCCGCUCUGGACUGAAACUGACGCUGAGGAGCGAAAGCAUGGGUAGCAAACAGGAUUAGAUACCCUGGUAGUCCAUGCCGUAAACGGUGGGCACUAGGUGUGGGUUCCAACUAACG